CCAGACUCCUACGGGAGGCAGCAGUGGGGAAUAUUGCACAAUGGGGGGAACCCUGAUGCAGCGACGCCGCGUGGGUGAAGGAGUACUUCGGUACGUAAAGCCCUAUCAGCAGGAAAGAAAAUGACGGUACCUGACUAAGAAGCCCCGGCUAACUACGUGCCAGCAGCCGCGGUAAUACGUAGGGGGCAAGCGUUAUCCGGAUUUACUGGGUGUAAAGGGAGCGCAGGUGGCAAGGCAAGCCAGAAGUGAAAACCCGGGGCUUAACCCCGCGGAUUGCUUUUGGAACUGUCUGGCUGGAGUGCAGGAGGGGCAGGCGGAAUUCCUAGUGUAGCGGUGAAAUGCGUAGAUAUUAGGAGGAACACCAGUGGCGAAGGCGGCUUACUGGACGGCAACUGACGCUGAGGCUCGAAAGCGUGGGUAGCGAACGGGAUUAGAUACCCCAGUAAU
Molecule: ribosomal RNA, 447 nt
Filed under: uncultured bacterium
Lineage: Bacteria
Description: partial 16S ribosomal RNA
Rfam family: Bacterial small subunit ribosomal RNA
Source: RNAcentral